AACAUUGACAUUGACUCUACUUGCAUAAACUUGUUAAGCAAUUCGACAGACAAAAAGGGGUUUUUUCUAUGUACUUCGGCUGAUAAUGUAACUAUUUCGACUAUGCGCGCACACUCUCUGGUUACGUUCGAAUCUCAGCCACAGUCGCGACACAGCAACGGCAGAGAAAACAAUAAAACAUUUAUAUAAUGACUGUGUGUGGAGUAUAACAUCAAACGGAUAUCGAUGAUUGAGAAUACAGUGGAUGACAACCUCAAUUCCGAUUUUGGAUAAAAUGCUCGAAUGUGAUCAGAAGACGGGCUAAUCACCUUUCGUCGCUAGGCCAACAGGUUGUUUACGGUUAUCGGAAGUUGAAAUGGAGUUGCGGUAGAAAAUGUAUAUCGAAAAUGACAUCACAUAACUCGAAUGUUUGCAUUCGACACACACUAUUUCACGUUCAAUUUUUGGUUCGAUUGCAAUUAACACACAAUUUCCACAAUGGAAGUCGAUGAUAUCAACGCACAAAUGUCGUUAGUUAUGUACCACGAAAUAAAUUGACAAAUUCAUGUCGAGGUUAUCGAAUAGCUGGCACUUUUGACUCUCAGACAAUUUUUUUUUAUUUUCGAAAUAUAAAAAAUGUUGCGACAAGUGUGA
Bradysia coprophila is the source of this 633-nucleotide long non-coding RNA. NCBI's taxonomy places the organism in Eukaryota, Metazoa, Arthropoda, Insecta, Diptera, Sciaridae. The record is from RefSeq and is a predicted model, not a curated record.